AGACUUUGAACUUUUUACAUUUGAGUUAAUGCUGAAAUGACUUAAAACUUUCGGCAGCUUUUGAAAAGGGAUGAUUGCAUUUUACUCUGUGAGAAGGAUAUGAUAUUCGGGGGAUCAGGGUCAGAAUAAUAUGGUUUAGCUGUGUGUCCCUACCUAAACUCACAUGUAAUUGUAAUCCCGAAUGUUGCAGGUGGGGCCUGGUUGGAGGUGAUUUAUUCAUGGAUUGGAGAGGUGUUGGAUUGGAAGUCAAAACAGGGACUCAUAUGCAGAAGAGUUUGCAGCCUUGUCUUGGAUGAGACUUGAACCUACUACAUUUGAGUUACUGCUGGAAUGAGUUAAGAAUUUUGGAAACUUUUGAAAAGGUAGGUUUGUACUUUUCUGUGUGAGAAGGACAAGAGAUGUGGGGGUGUCAGGGUCAGCAUAAUAUGGCUUGACUGUGUUUCCCUACAAAAACUCUUGGGGAAUUGUAUUCCUGACUGUUGUAGGUGGGGCCUGGUGGGAGGUGAUUUAAUCACAAACGGGAGGUUGGUAGGGGUGGAAGAGAAAACAAGUGGGUAGGGUGGGAAGGAGUAGGCUGGCAGUAGUGUGGUGAGAGUGUGGUGGGCAGUAGGAAGAGGGAGUAGCCUGGUGCAGAAUCAGAGGCUCAUGGAAAAGCUCUACCAGGGCAGUGCACUUGUGGCUUUGCAGGCUUUAGCCCCCAUGGCUGCCCUUGUGGGCUGGGCUGGUGUUGAGUGCCUGUGGCUGUUCCAUACUGAGAAUGCAAGCUGUUGGUGGGUCUAUGAAUCUGUGGUCUGGUGGAUGGUAACCUCCUGCGUGGGGCCUCCAAGCCCAUAUAUUUUUUCUGCAUUACCCCAGUAGAGGUUUUC
Molecule: long non-coding RNA, 866 nt
Filed under: Pan troglodytes (chimpanzee)
Lineage: Eukaryota; Metazoa; Chordata; Mammalia; Primates; Hominidae
Description: long non-coding RNA NONPTRT004406
Source: RNAcentral